GAUGAACGCUGGCGGCGUGCCUAAUACAUGCAAGUCGAGCGCUCAUUUGCGGAGCUUGCUCCUCUGACGUUAGCGACGGACGGGGGAGUAACACGUGGAAACCCUACCUUUAAGAAUGGAAUAACGUCGGGAAACCGGAGCUAAUACGGGAUAAUAUAUUGAAACGCAUUGUUCAAUAGUGCAAGAGGGUUAUGCUGUCACUUAUGGAUGGAUCACGGCCGGAUUCGCUGGUUGGUAAGUUAACGGCUAACCAAGGCAACGAUGAGUAGCCGACCGGAGGGGGUGAUCGGCCACACGGGAACUGAGACACGGCCCAGACUCCUACGGGAGGCAGCAGUAGGGAAUUUUCCGCAAUGGGCGAAAGCCUGACGGAGCAACGCGGCGGGAGUGAUGAAGUGCUUCGGAUCGUAAAACCCUGUUAUUGGGGAAGAACAAAUGGGUAAGUAACUAUGCACGUCUGGAGGGUACCUAAUCAGAAAGCAACGGCAAACUACGU
This 496-nucleotide ribosomal RNA is filed under the name uncultured bacterium. Its description in RNAcentral is "partial 16S ribosomal RNA". It matches the Rfam family "Bacterial small subunit ribosomal RNA", at positions 28 to 506 of the family's 1533-position model. The record is from RNAcentral.